UAGGGAAUCUUCGGCAAUGGACGAAAGUCUGACCGAGCAACGCCGCGUGAGUGAAGAAGGUUUUCGGAUCGUAAAACUCUGUUGGUAGAGAAGAACGUUGGUGAGAGUGGAAAGCUCAUCAAGUGACGGUAACUAACCAGAAAGUCACGGCUAACUACGUGUCAG
Molecule: ribosomal RNA, 165 nt
Filed under: uncultured bacterium
Lineage: Bacteria
Description: partial 16S rRNA
Rfam family: Bacterial small subunit ribosomal RNA
Source: RNAcentral